Molecule: ribosomal RNA, 453 nt
Filed under: uncultured bacterium
Lineage: Bacteria
Description: bacterial SSU rRNA
Rfam family: Bacterial small subunit ribosomal RNA
Source: RNAcentral
UACGGAAGGCAGCAGUGGGGAAUAUUGCACAAUGGGCGCAAGCCUGAUGCAGCCAUGCCGCGUGUAUGAAGAAGGCCUUCGGGUUGUAAAGUACUUUCAGUCGUGAGGAAGGUGUUAAGGUUAAUAACCUUAGCAAUUGACGUUAGCGACAGAAGAAGCACCGGCUAACUCCGUGCCAGCAGCCGCGGUAAUACGGAGGGUGCGAGCGUUAAUCGGAAUUUACUGGGCGUAAAGGGCACGCAGGCGGUUAAUUAAGUUGGAUGUGAAUCCCCGGGCUUAACCUGGGAAUGGCAUUCAAGACUGGUUAGCUAGAGUCUUGUAGAGGGGGUAGAAUUCCAUGUGUAGCGGUGAAAUGCGUAGAGAUGUGGAGGAAUACCGGUGGCGAAGGCGGCCCCUGGGACAAAGACUGACGCUCAUGUGCGAAAGCGUGGGGAGCAAACAGGAUUAGAUACC